UCAGUUUAGAGUUUUAAAACCUUAAUGCUGACUGAAUGGAAAGAGUUCAGUUUAGGGUUUAAAACCCUAAUGCUGACUGAGUGGAAAAAAUUCAGUUUAGGGUUUAAAUCCCUAAUACUGACUGAAUGGAAAAAGUUCAGUUUAGGGUUUAAAACCCUAAUACUGACUGAAUGGAAAAAGUUCAGUUUAGGGUUUAAAACCCUAAUGCUGACCAAAGGAAAGAGUUCAGUUUAGGGUUUAAAACCCUAAUGCUGACUAAAUGGAAAAGUUCAGUUUAGGGUUUAAAACCCUAAUACUGACUAAAGGAAAGAGUUCAGUUUUGGGGUUUAAAACCCUAAUGCUGACUAAAUGAAAGAGUUCAGUUUAGGGUUUAAAACCCUAAUGCUGACUGAAUGGAAAAAGUUCAGUUUAGGGUUUAAACCCCUAAUGCUUACUAAAGGAAAAGAGUUCAGUUUAGGGUUUAAAACCCUAAUGCUGACUAAAGGAAAAAGUUCAGUUUAGGGUUUAAAACCCUAAUGCUGACUGAAUGGAAAAAGUUCAGUUUAGGGUUUAAAACCCUAUUGCUAACCAAAGGAAAAAGUUCAGUUUAGAGUUUAAAAUCCUAAUGCUGACUGAAGGAAAGAGUUCAGUUUAGGGUUUAAAUCCCUAAUACUGACUAAAGGAAAGAGUUCAGUUUAGAGUUUAAAACCCUAAUGCUAACUGAAUGGAAAAAGUUUAGUUUAGGGUUUAAAACCCUAAUGCUGACUAAAGGAAAAGAGUUCACUUUAGGGUUUAAAAACCUAAUGCUGACUAAAGGAAAAAGAUCAGUUUAGGAUUUAAAACCCUAAUGUUGACUGAAUGGAAAAAGUUCAGUUUAGAGUUUAAAACCCUAAUGCUGACUGAAGGAAAGAGUUCAGUUUAGGGUUUAAAACCCUAAUGCUGACUAAAGGAAAGAGUUCAGUUUAGGGUUUAAAACCCUAAUGCUGACUAAAUGGAAAAAGUUCAGUUUAGGGUUUAAACCUCUAAUGCUUACUAAAGGAAAAGAGUUCAGUUUAGGGUUUAAAACCCUAAUGCUGACUAAAGGAAAAAGUUCAGUUUAGGGUUUAAAACCCUAAUACUGACUGAAUGGAAAAAGUUCAGUUUAAGGUUUAAAUCCCUAAUGCUGACUAAAUGGAAAAAGUUCAGUUUAGGGUUUAAAACCCUAAUACUGACUGAAGGAAAGAGUUCAGUUUAGGGUUUAAAACCCUAAUGCUGACUAAAGGAAAGAGUUCAGUUUAGGAUUUAAAACUCUAAUGUUGACUAAAGGGAAGAGUUCAGUUUAGGGUUUAAAACCCUAAUGCUGACUUAAAUGAAAAUAGUUCAGUUUAGGGUUUAAAACCCUAAUGCUGACUUAAAUGAAAAGAGUUCAGUUUAGGGUUUAAAACCCUAAUGCUGACUAAAUGGAAAAGUUCAGUUUAGGGUUUAAAACCCUAAUGCUGACUAAAUGAAAAAAGUUCAGUUUAGGUUUUAAAACCCUAAUGCUGACUGAAGGAAAGAGUUCAGUUUAGGGUUUAAAACCCUAAUGCUGACUAAAGGAAAAAGUUCAGUUUAGGGUUUAAAACCCUAAUGCUGACUGAAUGAAAAGA
RNAcentral lists this long non-coding RNA (1604 nucleotides) under Nicotiana tabacum (common tobacco). RNAcentral describes it as "long non-coding RNA (NTAB_LNC001951)". The record is from RNAcentral. Lineage: Eukaryota; Viridiplantae; Streptophyta; Magnoliopsida; Solanales; Solanaceae.